Non-coding RNA from Vicia faba (fava bean), 336 nucleotides. The record is from the annotation of a GenBank genome assembly. Lineage: Eukaryota; Viridiplantae; Streptophyta; Magnoliopsida; Fabales; Fabaceae.
AAAAAAUGGAAAAUGGAUUAUAUUAUGGUUAAGAGAGAAAAUAUGUCUCUUUAUCUCCCUCACAAAGCGCAGUGGUCCUCUUCUUCGAUUCGGUCCUUCUUCAUCAACGACUACUUCGCAUAUGUCUUUCAACCCCGGCGAUCUCCUUCUCCUUUGAUUUAACUCCACGUUUUGUUUUCUCUGAUUUGCCGUCAUCUCGGUCUCCAUGUCACUCUCUGGAUUUGUAGUUUUGAAAUUAAUCAACAGAAAACCAGAGGAAGAGAUGAAGAUCUUUGAGGAAAACUGUGUGAUUGCGUUAAGGCGUUUGUUGCGGCUGUGUGAUGUUGAACCUUGCAU